CAGCAUCCUUCACCGAAGCACGAAGCAGAAUCAAGCUGUUGCCAUGAAGCUUGUUUCAAGAGCUCAGAAAUACUCCAGGGACUCCUUUACUACUGCUUUUCAAAGAGGCCUUUUUUUCUCUCUUCUCCUUUUCCUGCAAAGAGGGUUAUAUCCAGUGCUCAAGGACAUGGGAUUAUCAGCCUAAGGCAUGAGUACAUGCUGUGGAAACAGAAAUAUGUAUGAAGGGAUGUAUGAAACCACAGAAUAAAUGGAAUCCACAUUCUUGAAGUAGCUACAACUCUACUUGAGGUCCCAAGGCACGUAGAUAGUACCUAUACAUCUCAUCAGGAACAUGGAUGGUUCUCUGCUAUCAGCUGAAGUGCUGUGACCACAAAACUGAAAAUUCCCAUUCUGUGUCCUUGCCAAUAAAGAAUGUCCAUCAGAGCACGCCCAGUAUCCUAGCUCCUUAUCCAGACUGUGCUUCUCAAUGUGACAAGGAAGACUGCAACCCUAUUUGCUUCUGAUAACCUUCCUAUGACUAAGGUAAGACAGCCUUGGGAUAAAGCAAGUUUUGUAUGUGGCAUAAAAGGGAAAGAGAAUGAGCCUGGGCACAUCAAAUACUUCUGAAGUCUCCUUUACAUCUGAACUUAUGAAAAUGUGAGAACAUACAUUUCCCAAUUGCUUGAGCCAAUUUGAGACAGGAUUUCUGUAUGUUUGUUUGUUUGUUUGGCUUUUUCCAGCCCAAGUCCUUUAUCUGGUACAAAUGGGUUGGAGAGAUUAGUAACUGUAAUUGACAUUCCUAUCGGAUGCUGAAACAAUUCAUUAGAAAGCCAGGGAUAUGAGAAGAUUGUCUGGAGAAGGGGGAAAAGUGGAGGUUGGUGCAAAAGGCACCCUGUGUCUCAAGAACCUUAGCAACAGUUAGCCAGUACAGUUUCACGGUUGCAGUAGGUGGGGAAAUGGUAAGCAUAUGUAGUGUUUGGGUUAGAGGGUAGAGAAGAAAUGCAGGUAACUAACAUUUAUUGAGAAUUUAGUUCUUGGCACUGUUUCCAUUUCAGAUAUGUUACUACAUUUUUGCCUCUCAACAGCACUAAGAAGUACAUAUUUAAAGAGAUAGAAACUUGAGACUCUGAGAUAUUAAUAUUCCCACAAUUACUCAGCUAGUAUAAAACUCCUCUCCCAUCCACAGUGCCUCUAAGUUCCUUACCAUCUAUAGCAUAGUUUAAGAAUUUAGGAAGUCAAAAAAGUACAGAAUACAUGUUUAAAAGGGGUCCAUCAAAGGUGCUAACAUGAAGACGAUGUAUUGUUAUCUCCCAACUCUAAGGAAUAUUUGCUAAUUCAGAAUAGAUUCAGAAUAAAUCAUUCCUGAAUGCUUCAGGGUUUUUG
Molecule: long non-coding RNA, 1362 nt
Filed under: Homo sapiens (human)
Lineage: Eukaryota; Metazoa; Chordata; Mammalia; Primates; Hominidae
Description: non-protein coding LINC02208:33
Source: RNAcentral